GUGGGGAAUAUUGGACAAUGGGCGCAAGCCUGAUCCAGCCAUGCCGCGUGAGUGAUGAAGGCCCUAGGGUUGUAAAGCUCUUUCACCGGAGAAGAUAAUGACGGUAUCCGGAGAAGAAGCCCCGGCUAACUUCGUGCCAGCAGCCGCGGUAAUACGAAGGGGGCUAGCGUUGUUCGGAAUUACUGGGCGUAAAGCUCACGUAGGCGGACAUUUAAGUCAGGGGUGAAAUCCCGGGGCUCAACCCCGGAACUGCCUUUGAUACUGGGUGUCUGGAGUAUGGAAGAGGUAAGUGGAAUUCCGAGUGUAGAGGUGAAAUUCGUAGAUAUUCGGAGGAACACCAGUGGCGAAGGCGGCUUACUGGUCCAUUACUGACGCUGAGGUGCGAAAGCGUGGGGAGCAAACAGGAUUAGAAACCCUAGUAGUCC
Molecule: ribosomal RNA, 425 nt
Filed under: uncultured bacterium
Lineage: Bacteria
Description: partial 16S ribosomal RNA
Rfam family: Bacterial small subunit ribosomal RNA
Source: RNAcentral